UACGUAGGGGGCUAGCGUUGUCCGGAAUCAUUGGGCGUAAAGAGCGUGUAGGCGGUCCGGUAAGUCCGCUGUGAAAGUCGGGGGCUCAACCCUCGAAUGCCGGUGGAUACUGUCGGGCUAGAGUGCGGAAGAGGUAACUGGAAUUCCCGGUGUAGCGGUGAAAUGCGCAGAUAUCAGGAAGAACACCCGUGGCGAAGGCGGCAUCCUGGACCAAUAUUGACGCUGAGGAGCGAAAGCCAGGGGAGCAAACGGG
This 253-nucleotide ribosomal RNA is filed under the name uncultured bacterium. RNAcentral's name for it is "partial 16S ribosomal RNA". It matches the Rfam family "Bacterial small subunit ribosomal RNA", at positions 524 to 776 of the family's 1533-position model. The record is from RNAcentral.